RNAcentral lists this ribosomal RNA (122 nucleotides) under Alistipes putredinis. RNAcentral's name for it is "partial 16S ribosomal RNA". It matches the Rfam family "Bacterial small subunit ribosomal RNA", at positions 1 to 114 of the family's 1533-position model. RNAcentral also lists the same sequence under 1 other name. Lineage: Bacteria; Pseudomonadati; Bacteroidota; Bacteroidia; Bacteroidales; Rikenellaceae. The record is from RNAcentral.
ACAAUGGAGAGUUUGAUCCUGGCUCAGGAUGAACGCUAGCGGCAGGCUUAACACAUGCAAGUCGAGGGGCAGCAUAAUGGAUAGCAAUAUCUAUGGUGGCGACCGGCGCACGGGUGCGUAAC